RNAcentral lists this ribosomal RNA (440 nucleotides) under uncultured Anaerolineae bacterium. Its description in RNAcentral is "partial 16S ribosomal RNA". It matches the Rfam family "Bacterial small subunit ribosomal RNA", at positions 338 to 794 of the family's 1533-position model. The record is from RNAcentral. Lineage: Bacteria; Bacillati; Chloroflexota; Anaerolineae.
CCUACGGGAGGCAGCAGUAAGGAAUCUUGCGCAAUGGGCGAAAGCCUGACGCAGCGACGCCGCGUGGGCGAUGAAGGCCUUCGGGUUGUAAAGCCCUUUUCUGGGGGACGAGGAAGGACGGUACCCCAGGAAUAAGUCACGGCUAACUACGUGCCAGCAGCCGCGGUAAAACGUAGGUGGCAAGCGUUAUCCGGAAUCACUGGGCGUAAAGGGCGUCUAGGCGGACGGGUAAGUCGUGCGUGAAAGCUUCCGGCUCAACCGGGAGAGGUCGUACGAUACUGCCUGUCUUGAGGGUCGGAGAGGGACGUGGAAUUCCCGGUGUAGCGGUGAAAUGCGUAGAGAUCGGGAAGAACACCGAUGGCGAAGGCAGCUUUCCAGCUUGAAACUGACACUGAGACACGAAAGCUAGGGGAGCAAACAGGAUUAGAUACCCUAGUAGU